CAAAGAGAUGUAAGUGAGGUUCCGGGUGCAGAGAUGUGACGUAGGUUUUGGGUGCAGAGAUGGGUGGGUGUGUCCGAGCUCCUGGCUAGGCAUCCGACCUUACAUUAAGUACUUAACUGAAGUAUAUAAUCUGAAGACUGGUUGUGCAGCCAGUCUUCAGAAAGUUUUUGUCUCUCAAAAGUGAAACUAUGUACACAUUAAAGAAUUCCCCAUUUCCCUCUUACCCCAGUCCCUGGAAACCAUCAUUCUACUUUGUUUCUAUGGAUCUGACUACUUUAGAUACCUUCUAUCAGUGGAACUAUAGUUAUUUGUCAUUUUGUAACCGGCUCAUUUCAUUUAGCAUUGCUAUAAAGAGAUACCUGAAAUUGGAUAAUUGAUAAGGAAAAGAUGACCCUUGAGGCUCAUCCAUGUUGUAGUAUAGUAUGUGGAAAUUUAUUUCCUUUUUCAGGCUGAAUAAUAUUGCAUUGUAGGUAUAGAACACAUUUGGCUUAUCCAUUGGAGACCACUUGGGUUGCUUUCAUUUUCUGACUCUUUUGAAUAAUGCUGUUAAUGAACUUGGGUGUAGAUCUUUUUUUUAAUUGAUGGGAGAAAUUGUUUUAAAAUACUCAAUUUGUUUCCUCAAUCUUUAAGAUUAUUAAAAUAACAUGGUGAAUAAAAUAAAGGAAGAAUGCAAGUUGUUAGGGUACUGGAGUUUUCAGGCUCCAGUCCAAAUGACUUGCAAGUUUGAGAACCAUUAGUAGAGUGAAUAGGACUUUUCUAGGUCCUCUUGGGUCUAUUAUGUUUACUUUUAUUAUAGUGAUUGUGUGUGUGGAAAUAAUGAACUUCCUCUUUGAUAGCCUCUAUGAUCCUUCAUCCUUGCAUUUUUGCCCUUUACAAUUUAUUUACAUUCCCCACUGUACUGUAAACUUGUUGAGUGUAGGGACCAAGUUAUUAAUUUCUAAAUAAUGCUUAGGACAAAUCCUGGCUCAUAAAGCAAAUGCAAUAAAUGAUGGAAUAGACAUUUGACUUAUUCUGUCAUUUGGAAAAAUUUAACUUCACAAUUAGUCUUGGAAUAAUUCAACAUUUUUAUUUGUUUUUAUCUGCUUCUUUUAUAUUUGAAACACCUCAUGUUUAGGAGCACAGAUUAGUUAUAAAUAUGUGGAAAUCAGUUGUUUUUUUUUUUUUUCCUAAACUCUUUUUGGGGAGAGGGAGAAACAUUUGUUGAAUACUUGGCAUCAAAUAGAGGAAAUAUCCAAGCCUUGACUUUAGUUUUGAUUUGAGUAAGUCCCUCUGAUGUUUCCACUGUGAAAUUGCUUUCCUCCCUGCCACCUCUUUGUGUGUCGCUUUGAGUUGUGCAGCUAGUGCUGUGAGUGCUGUUUUUGUAUCAGGGCAUAGAUUUCCCCCUCCAAGUUUUAGCUCUUAAGCUUUGUUUUCAUGCCCCCGACCUUCUCCUGAACCUCUCCAACAUCUUUAUAAUGUUCCAGAAAUAGAAACCUCCCAAAGUGGAUUGUGGUUUGUAAUAAAGGCCCUUAAUCUUUAUUAUGUUGUUUCCCAUUGGUGGGCAGAAAGCCUGCAAAUAUAUUUAUUUUCAGAUGAUAGACAAUACUUGAGAGACUCAUGCCUAGGUGUCUGGACUCUGUUCAUUCAAAGAGCACCAAGCAUUAUGGCAGGCUCGGGCACUGGUGAAAUAGUGAUGAGGAAGAGUCUCUGUACUCUUACAAAGCUGAUAGUGAGAGAAAUAAAAAGGAAGUGGUGCCUUGACUGGGAAACACAGAGAGCUAGGGAAACUCAUAGGAAAGGGAGCUGACAUAGUUGGGUGGCGGUAGCAAGUACAAUCAUUAACUUCACACGUGAAGGAUGAGUAAGAAUUUGUCAGUUGAUGAGGAGGAAGAAGAGUGUCCUGGAAAGUGGGAACAGCACAUGUGGAAGCUAGGAGAUGAGCAAGAACAUGGCUUAGACAACAGAAGGAAGUACAUUAUUCCUAGAGUAGUGAGUCACCUUAGUUACAUGGAUAGUCCUGAAAUAUGCCGAAUUAUACCACUCUUGUUUCAGUGGACAGUCUCAUUGAUUCCAGUUUGUUAGCAGAAAUAUUGAAAAUGCAAUUUUUCUGUGCAUUAACAAGGAGGUUCCCUGGUAGGGAGAAAUAUAUGAAAGACAAGCAGGCUCAAUGGGAACUUAAUGCACUUGAUGAAAUGCUGAUUGUGAACAAAACUUCAGGAUACUAUCAUUAUAAAUGAAUGAAACUCAUUAGAUUUUAAGUAGAAGACUUUUUUUUUUUUGCUGCUAAGAUUAGAGGCCUCAGGAUUUUGUCAAUUGUGGACUCCAUGAUCAAAAAUCCAUAUAUGCGUCUGCAGCCAUGAUUUUUUUAUUAGUAACAAGAAUGAGGGAUAACUUCUUAACUAUUCAGAAUAUGGAUUAUUUAGCAGUAAGAUACAACAAGUCCAGAAAGCAGCUUAAUCAACUUUAUUCAUAUGAAAGUACAUAGUUAUAUGGCUAUUAUUAGUAGGCCAUGAAUUUUUAUUAAGUCAAAAAGAACACUGAUAUUUAACAGAUAAUGUCAUUCUUGACAGUCAAGAGGUAGUCAGGCAGAACACAACUCAUUUCUGGCUUCCACUAUAACACUCAUGUUGACUUUCAGCUUUGACUUCAGUAGUUGUGUGAAAGUAAAUGUGCAGAUUUUGCCACACAGGAAUUUCAGGAUAGUUCUAUUCAUAGCAUUUAUUCCUUCAAGGAAAGUGUAUUGGGUGCUGGCUCUCUGUCAGACUUGAUUCUAGGUGUUGGAAAAAUGUGACCAAGCCAAAGAUUGUCCCUGUCCUUGCAGGGCUCACAGUGUAGUGGGGAAGACAGA
Long non-coding RNA from Sapajus apella (tufted capuchin), 2827 nucleotides. RefSeq lists it as uncharacterized. The record is from RefSeq and is a predicted model, not a curated record. The transcript is spliced from 3 exons. NCBI's taxonomy places the organism in Eukaryota, Metazoa, Chordata, Mammalia, Primates, Cebidae.